This 554-nucleotide ribosomal RNA is filed under the name uncultured bacterium. Its description in RNAcentral is "bacterial SSU rRNA". It matches the Rfam family "Bacterial small subunit ribosomal RNA", at positions 41 to 643 of the family's 1533-position model. The record is from RNAcentral.
GGCAGGCUUAACACAUGCCAGUCGAGCGCCCCGCAAGGGGAGCGGCAGACGGGUGAGUGACGCGUGGGAACAUACCCUUCGGUUCGGAAUAGCUCAGGGAAACUUGGAUUAAUACCGGAUACGUCCGCGAGGAGAAAGAUUCAUCGCCGAAGGAUUGGCCCGCGUCUGAUUAGCUAGUUGGUGGGGUAACGGCCCACCAAGGCGACGAUCAGUAGCUGGUCUGAGAGGAUGAUCAGCCACAUUGGGACUGAGACACGGCCCAAACUCCUACGGGAGGCAGCAGUGGGGAAUAUUGGACAAUGGGCGCAAGCCUGACCCAGCCAUGCCGCGUGAGUGAUGACGGCCUUAGGGUUGUAAAGCUCUUUCGCUAGGGACGAUAAUGACGGUACCUAGACAAGAAGCCCCGGCUAACUUCGUGCCAGCAGCCGCGGUAAUACGAAGGGGGCUAGCGUUGUUCGGAAUUACUGGGCGUAAAGCGCGUGUAGGCGGGCGUUUAAGUCAGGGGUGAAAUGCCAAGGCUCAACCUUGGAACUGCCUUUGAUACUGGACGCCUG